This 301-nucleotide ribosomal RNA is filed under the name uncultured bacterium. RNAcentral describes it as "partial 16S ribosomal RNA". It matches the Rfam family "Bacterial small subunit ribosomal RNA", at positions 509 to 807 of the family's 1533-position model. The record is from RNAcentral.
CAGCAGCCACGGUAAAACGAAGGGGGCUAGCGUUGCUCGGAAUGACUGGGCGUAAAGGGCGCGUAGGCGGCGAUCAAAGUCAGGCGUGAAAUUCCUGGGCUCAACCUGGGGGCUGCGCUUGAUACUUGGUUGCUUGAGUGGGGAAGAGGGUCGUGGAAUCCCCAGUGUAGAAGUGAAAUUCGUAGAUAUUGGGAAGAACACCGGUGGCGAAGGCGGCGACCUGGUCCUUGACUGACGCUGAGGCGCGAAAGCGUGGGGAGCAAACAGGAUUAGAUACCCCCGUAGUCCCUGUCUCUUAUAC